UGGGGAAUAUUGCACAAUGGGCGCAAGCCUGAUGCAGCCAUGCCGCGUGUAUGAAGAAGGCCUUCGGGUUGUAAAGUACUUUCAGCGGGGAGGAAGGGAGUAAAGUUAAUACCUUUGCUCAUUGACGUUACCCGCAGAAGAAGCACCGGCUAACUCCGUGCCAGCAGCCGCGGUAAUACGGAGGGUGCAAGCGUUAAUCGGAAUUACUGGGCGUAAAGCGCACGCAGGCGGUUUGUUAAGUCAGAUGUGAAAUCCCCGGGCUCAACCUGGGAACUGCAUCUGAUACUGGCAAGCUUGAGUCUCGUAGAGGGGGGUAGAAUUCCAGGUGUAGCGGUGAAAUGCGUAGAGAUCUGGAGGAAUACCGGUGGCGAAGGCGGCCCCCUGGACGAAGACUGACGCUCAGGUGCGAAAGCGUGGGGAGCAAACA
RNAcentral lists this ribosomal RNA (427 nucleotides) under Brucella melitensis. Its description in RNAcentral is "partial 16S ribosomal RNA". It matches the Rfam family "Bacterial small subunit ribosomal RNA", at positions 355 to 774 of the family's 1533-position model. RNAcentral also lists the same sequence under 9 other names. The record is from RNAcentral. Lineage: Bacteria; Pseudomonadati; Pseudomonadota; Alphaproteobacteria; Hyphomicrobiales; Brucellaceae.